RNAcentral lists this long non-coding RNA (305 nucleotides) under Carica papaya (papaya). Its description in RNAcentral is "long non-coding RNA (CPAP_LNC013548)". The record is from RNAcentral. Lineage: Eukaryota; Viridiplantae; Streptophyta; Magnoliopsida; Brassicales; Caricaceae.
UCCAAAUAUUUUGAGUAAAAACUUGGAGCAACCCUUUAAGCUUCUUUGCCUUUGAUCUUGUUACUGGUCUGCUGAAACUUUCCAAGUUUGGGACUGUAUUUGUGUUUACAUCAAUUGAAAUUAUCUCCAAGUCACCUUUUGAUACUCUUUGAGUAUCUUGAGUGUUUUUAGCUUUGUUUAAAUCAGUUCAGUUAUAUGCAAAUUCAGCAAUUGGUACACAAUCCUCCUAACUCUUGAGAUUCUUUUUGAUUAUUGCCCUUAGGAGUGUACCAAGAGUUCGAUUUAUCACCUCCGUUUGUCCAUCU